Long non-coding RNA from Oreochromis aureus, 436 nucleotides. The record is from Ensembl. NCBI's taxonomy places the organism in Eukaryota, Metazoa, Chordata, Actinopteri, Cichliformes, Cichlidae.
UUUCCUUUGAAAAUCAGCUGUUACACGUUGAUGUACUAUAAACCCAACACAUCAUUUCUUAAACUCCACGUCUAUCCAAUCCGACAGGAUCCUGCUCUGGAACAGGGAAUAGACAAGGAAGAAUCCUCAGAUGGAUACAAAAGAAUCAAAAAGCCACACCCAGACAAGUACCUGCAAACUGAGCGUACUUUCAGCCUCAGAGCCGACAUGGAAACAGCAGAAAUUCAACCACAGGAGUUAACCUUCAGAUAUAACAGGAUAAACUUCUAUGAAGUGUUCAUUGAGAAUCCAGACAGAAAACUCAGGCUUACACUCCUGCACUCAAAUGAUGAUGAACCAGUCUGGACAUGUAAUGUUUAUCAAGAUGACUUUCCCAUGUCUGGUUAUGUUGAAGCUUCAGGAACUUCAAGGGGAGCAACUGGUGUCAGUACUUCAG